CCUACGGGAGGCUGCAGUAGGGAAUAUUGCUCAAUGGGGGAAACCCUGAAGCAGCAACGCCGCGUGGAGGAUGAAGGUUUUCGGAUUGUUAACUCCUUUUGUUAGAGAAGAUAAUGACGGUAUCUAACGAAUAAGCACCGGCUAACUCCGUGCCAGCAGCCGCGGUAAUACGGAGGGUGCAAGCGUUACUCGGAAUCACUGGGCGUAAAGAGCGCGUAGGCGGGAUAGCAAGUCAGAUGUGAAAUCCUAUGGCUUAACCAUAGAACUGCAUUUGAAACUGUUAUUCUAGAGUAUGGGAGAGGUAGGUGGAAUUCUUGGUGUAGGGGUAAAAUCCGUAGAGAUCAAGAGGAAUACUCAUUGCGAAGGCGACCUGCUAGAACAUAACUGACGCUGAUGCGCGAAAGCGUGGGGAGCAAACAGGAUUAGAUACCCGAGUAGUC
Molecule: ribosomal RNA, 440 nt
Filed under: uncultured bacterium
Lineage: Bacteria
Description: partial 16S ribosomal RNA
Rfam family: Bacterial small subunit ribosomal RNA
Source: RNAcentral